CAUCACUCCCCAACCCCUGUGACAUACCACUUGUUGCCUCGGCGGAUCAGCCCGCUCCCGGUAAAACGGGACGGCCCGCCAGAGGACCCCUAAACUCUGUUUCUAUAUGUAACUUCUGAGUAAAACCAUAAAUAAAUCAAAACUUUCAACAACGGAUCUCUUGGUUCUGGCAUCGAUGAAGAACGCAGCAAAAUGCGAUAAGUAAUGUGAAUUGCAGAAUUCAGUGAAUCAUCGAAUCUUUGAACGCACAUUGCGCCCGCCAGUAUUCUGGCGGGCAUGCCUGUUCGAGCGUCAUUUCAACCCUCAAGCACAGCUUGGUGUUGGGACUCGCGUUAAUUCGCGUUCCCCAAAUUGAUUGGCGGUCACGUCGAGCUUCCAUAGCGUAGUAGUAAAACCCUCGUUACUGGUAAUCGUCGCGGCCACGCCGUUAAACCCCAACUUCUGAAUGUUGACCUCGGAUCAGGUAGGAAUACCCGCUGAACUUAAGCAUAUCAAUAAGCGAGGGAAAAGAAAAUUCC
Molecule: ribosomal RNA, 518 nt
Filed under: Fusarium oxysporum
Lineage: Eukaryota; Fungi; Ascomycota; Sordariomycetes; Hypocreales; Nectriaceae
Description: eukaryotic LSU rRNA
Rfam family: 5.8S ribosomal RNA (bases 141-294)
Source: RNAcentral